CCCGACUGCUAUUUGGGUGAGAAUAAGCCAUGCGAGUUGAAUGGGAUACCUAAAUUUCCCAUAGCAAACUGCUCAGUAACACAUGAUCAACUUACCCUAUAGAGAAAAAUAACCUCGGGAAACUGAGGAUAAUGUUUCAUAAUUGAAUUGGCUUGGAAAAGUUUUUCAAUGAAAAGGAUAAAAAAAAUGGUUUUUAUCUGCUAUAGGAUAGGAUCGUGUUCGAUUAUGGUUGUUGGUGAGAUAAUGGCUCACCAAGCCGAUAAUCGAUAGGGGCCGUGAGAGCGGGAGCCCCGAGAUGGGUACUGAGACAACGACCCAGGCCUUACGAGGCGCAGCUGGCGCGGAACCUCCGCAAUACACGAAAGUGUGACGGGGUUACCCAAAGUGUUCAAUAGAACUGUGGUAGGUGAGUAAUGUCCCCUACUAGAAAGGAGAGGGCAAGGCUGGUGCCAGCCGCCGCGGUAAAACCAGCUCUACAAGUGGUCGGGAUAAUAUUGGGCUUAAAGUGUCCGUAGCCGGUUAGUAAGUUCCUGGUAAAAUCGGGUAGCUUAACUAUCUGCAUGCUAGGAAUACUGCUAUACUAGAGGACGGGAGAGGUCUGAGGUACUACAGGGUAGGGGUGAAAUCUUAUAAUCCUUGUAGGACCACCAGUGGCGAAGGCGUCAGACUGGAACGCGCCUGACGGUGAGGGACGAAAGCCAGGGGAGCGAACCGGAUUAGAUACCCGGGUAGUCCUGGCCGUAAACGAUGCAUACUAGGUGAUGGUACGGCCAUGAGCCGUAUCAGUGCCGUAGGGAAACCGUUAAGUGUGCCGCCUGGGAAGUACGGUCGCAAGGCUAAAACUUAAAGGAAUUGGCGGGGGAGCACCACAAGGGGUGAAGCCUGCGGUUCA
Molecule: ribosomal RNA, 892 nt
Filed under: uncultured archaeon
Lineage: Archaea
Description: bacterial SSU rRNA
Rfam family: Archaeal small subunit ribosomal RNA
Source: RNAcentral